CUUCUCAGCCUUUUAGCUAAGAUCAAAUGUAAUAUGG
This 37-nucleotide small nuclear RNA is filed under the name Cervus elaphus hippelaphus. The record is from RNAcentral. Lineage: Eukaryota; Metazoa; Chordata; Mammalia; Artiodactyla; Cervidae.